This 250-nucleotide ribosomal RNA is filed under the name uncultured bacterium. Its description in RNAcentral is "partial 16S ribosomal RNA". It matches the Rfam family "Bacterial small subunit ribosomal RNA", at positions 524 to 773 of the family's 1533-position model. The record is from RNAcentral.
GACGAGGGAUCCUAGCGUUGCUCGGAAUCAUUGGGCGUAAAGAGGGCGUAGGUGGCUUGGUAAGUCAGGUGUGAAAGCCCAGGGCUCAACCCUGGAAGUGCAUUUGAUACUGCUGAGCUUGAGUGUUGGAGAGGUUACCGGAAUACCUGGUGUAGUGGUGAAAUACGUAGAUAUCAGGUGGAACACCGGAGGCGAAGGCGGGUAACUGGCCAAACACUGACACUGAGGCCCGAAAGCGUGGGGAUCAAAC